CAACUUUCAACAACGGAUCUCUUGGUUCUGGCAUCGAUGAAGAACGCAGCGAAAUGCGAUAAGUAGUGUGAAUUGCAGAAUUCAGUGAAUCAUCGAAUCUUUGAACGCACAUUGCGCCCCUUGGCAUUCCAUGGGGCAUGCCUGUUCGAGCGUCAUUU
This 158-nucleotide ribosomal RNA is filed under the name Ampelomyces quisqualis. Its description in RNAcentral is "5.8S ribosomal RNA". It matches the Rfam family "5.8S ribosomal RNA". Rfam says of the family: 5.8S ribosomal RNA (5.8S rRNA) is a component of the large subunit of the eukaryotic ribosome. It is transcribed by RNA polymerase I as part of the 45S precursor that also contains 18S and 28S rRNA. The record is from RNAcentral. RNAcentral also lists the same sequence under 1 other name. Lineage: Eukaryota; Fungi; Ascomycota; Dothideomycetes; Pleosporales; Phaeosphaeriaceae.